This is a long non-coding RNA of Centrocercus urophasianus (Greater sage-grouse), 10562 nucleotides long. RefSeq lists it as uncharacterized. The transcript is spliced from 2 exons. The record is from RefSeq and is a predicted model, not a curated record. Lineage: Eukaryota; Metazoa; Chordata; Aves; Galliformes; Phasianidae.
CAUCCCCCACUGCAGCUCCCACAGCCGCCUCUCCCUCCCAUUAACGCUGAAAGGGGAGGACGGCGGCUCUGAUGGGUUUUUCUCAGGCUGUUUUCUCCCCCCUACCAACCGAUACCGGCCCUGCAGAAGUGCAGAGCGCGCAUCUGGCUCUGAGCGCGUCGGCUGAAUGCCUGCUUUCCUCUGAGCCGAUUCCCCUUGUUUUGCUUGUUCAUUAUAAGGGCUUGUCAGCGUGCUUUUUAUAAACGUGUGAUCUCUCCUUUUAGAAGCAUCUGCGCUUUAAGAAUAAGGUUUUGUCUUCCAUCGUCGUUCUUGAUAAUAGCCACUUCAAGUGCUCCAUUUUUGUCCUUAAAGUUCUAUUUUAUUGCCUUUUGUGAAUCAGUGGAGGUCAGUUUAACCCUUCACGUAUGAAAAUCGGUGGUCACUGUACAAAAAGGUUGCUUUAUUCUUCACUGAUUUAUGUUUAUGAUCACAUUUCAUUGAGUGAGAGUUGUUUUUUUUCCCCCCAGAUAAGUCCUGAUGUGUGCUGGAAGAAGUGUGUGCUUCAGCACUGAUUAAAGUCAUGUAUGAGUUAAUGAGAAGCUUGCAGAGUAUGUGAAGCAAGAGAAAAUCUUUAACCAGCUCUGCUGUUCCUUGUACAUAGCACAAACUUGUAAGCUGUAACCAGAAGGUGGAUUGGAUGUGUGAAAUGCUGCAGUAGGAGACUCCUGUAAUUGCAUCACAGGUGGAUGCUCACUCAAUUAAUGUUAGCAUCUUCACAAUACGUGAAAGUUGGGGGUUUGGUUUUUUGUUUUUCUCAAAUGUUUGUAAGGUGGCAUAUUUCAAAAUAUAUUUAAAUCCUUGGAUGAAGGACGCUACAAACCUACAAAGCAGUAUUUUCUGGCUUGGUUUUUCAUUUUAAACAAUGCCUUUGUUUGUUGGGAUGUUGUUCUGGUGCUUUUUUUUUAUUUUUUUCCCUAUGCUAACUGCUUCCUGGAUGAAUAAAUCGGUCAUACAUAAGAGACUCUCAGGUGGUGGAGGAACACAGUGCUGUAAUAUCAACAUUCUAGUUGUGGGACUUCUAAUUUAAGAAACACAUUGCCAGAAGAAAUAAGAUCAAGGCUGAAUCUUGCUUGCAUUUUGGUCCAAAUGUAAGAUCCCCUUCCUAAGCAGUCCCUGAUGAACACGGAGGGUAAUUAAGUAAAAAUAAAACCUUUUACUUCAGCCCUCUCCAUCGUUUUUAACGUAAGCAAGAAAAUGCAACUGUUUUCAUUAUGUGUUCUGAUAUUUCUUAAUUUUGUACUGCAUCUUCAGACCUCCAGAGGCUUAUAAUUGGUGUGAUUUGGGGGUAUUUCUAGACGAUACUUUUAAGGAAAUCAUCUCACUGUGUCCCAGAAGGAGCUACUGAGCACUCAUUCUCUUAAAAAAAAAAAAAAAAAAAAAAAAAAAAAGACUGAAUUUCUACAGCUUUGCCUUCUACCCCCAUCCCCCUUUUUAUUCCUCCCAAUGGAAUUUUUGUAUUUAAUUGUUGAAUUCUUCUUUCCGUAGAUUAAGUUAAAUAUUUAUUGGUAUCAGUUGGAUUUUUUUUUUUUUCUAAAGAAGAGAGCCUUAUUGCUGAGACAGUCUCUUCAUACUGCAUUGAGGAUGUGACAUAGAAAGGGACUGAAGGAAAGUUGUCUUGUGCUGGGAAAGUUAGUGCUGUUUUUGGAAAAAAAAUAUUGUAGGAAAUGAAAAUUAAAAAUACAUUUUAUGCUGGUGGGAACUUUGUAAUGAGGCUGAGAGAGGAUUUGAAAUCUCAGAAAAGUGAUUAUUACAAGGGAAAAAGCAGGGCUUUAUCAUCCAUUUGUAAAAGUUCUCCAGCUGAAUAUCCUUUUGGGGAACUGAAAUUUGGCUCGAGUCUGUUUAUGAACAUCUGUUGAAUGUAGUUUUAAAAAGGCACAGAUUAUAAUCCUAGUUUCUGUUGUCUGUUUAGGCUGGAAUUGACAAAAACAAAGUACAAAAAACAAAGAUGCAAUGGCCUUUUUUUUUUUUUUUUUUUUAAAUAGUGAGCUGCAUGAAUCUUCCACAGUCUGCGGUGCUGAUUACCUGGCUGCGUGUGUUCAUUCUGUACAUUUUUCUCCUUGGCUUAUGACAUACAGAUGUGUGGCUUCCGCCCCCGUCUGUAGUUGGUUAAUUCCAUUACUUUUCCAGUGAGCUUUCAAAUUUUGUGGGGUUUGGUUUUUUGUUUUCUUCACCAGCAGCCUGUUGGAUGCCUGUGUUGUCUCUGAUGUUUUUGUACAAGGAGUAGAGUGAUGUAUUUGAGGGGAAAUUUUGAGAAAUCUCAGGUGUUCCCAGAACCGUCGCCGUUCACUCAGUCCAGCUUUGCAUCCUUCCCACCUGUCUUCAACUACAUUUCUGUAAAUGCAAUCACUUGGUGUCUGCUGUCUCUAGAUAGUACUACUUCAGCAUCUAUUUCUGCAGUAUUUGUGACCUCCUGUUAUUCACGGAGGUCUUCGCUGUAAUUUUCCCUCCUAUUAUUUUGCUUCUUUUGCAGCCUGAUGUUUUUGUUGUUGUUUUAUAUUCCCAGCAAGCAUCUUGUGAAUGCUUCAGCCCAAAAUUUAGGUCAUCUCUGAUAGAAGAAGGAAGAGGAAACCUAAAAAGUAAAAAUAAGAUUUCAAUGUGCUUUAAAAAGCGCUUUUCUUUUAGGGGGGGGGGGGGGGGAAAGAAAAAAAAAAAAAAAAAAAGAGAGGAAAAGCAUGCGAACUCUUCUGCAUUUGACGUUCUGUGUGGACCGGGGAGAAUGCAGGGUGCCUCUGUUUGAUUUCAGGAGGAGAGCUGUGUUAUCUUCAUGUGACCGUGGCUUCUUACCCAUGUGCUUUCCUGGUCUUUUUCAUUUUCACACCUGCCUUGAUCUUUAAUCGCUCAAAUUAUUCAUAGACUUGCCCUGGAAGAAGAAGAGGCUGACCUCUUCCCAUCUGGAGUAGAUGGAUUUACUAUCAGUAAUUGUAAAUGGACUCGGAUGACUUAAUGGUUUUUGUGCUUAAAUUUUUUAAUUCUGUGAUUUCAUUUCUUUUUAAGGAUUCUGCCCACAGCUUCCCUGAACUGAUAGAUCUCUAUGGUAUAACUUCAAGUUACUUUGUGCAAACUAUAUCUUAACAUUGGGCUCGCAUCCACAACGUGCUGAUGAUCCCCCAUUGACUGCUGAGUUGUCAUAGAGCUCCGUUUGCACAGUACCAGGCCUGGAAGUUGCAGUUGUCUUUUUUUUUUUCCCCCUGUAAUUAUAUACAAUGUCUUUCAUUACAAAGAACCUGAAGACAAUUUAUGAAAUCAGCAGCCACAAAAGUAAUGCGGUGCCCGUUGGGGGUUAUGUAUUCACAUUGAUUACAAUUUAACAAUCCCUCAGCCUGAGGAUAUCUGAGAGGACUUAGCGCCAACUGCUUUUCAAUCCGUGCGCGCUGCUAUAAGCUGCAAGCUGGAACUGAUAGAUAUCUGUUGCUAUUGCCAGCAACUAUUGGUUCUCUGUUACUUCAGUACCUUAAUUUAAAUUAUUAAGAAACUUGUGAAUCUGUUUUGUUUUUCUACUCUUCCUAGCACUGAAGCUUCAUCUGGCCUAGAUGUACAAUGAAUACUUUGGUGAAUGUGAUUUAGUCCAGUUUCCUCCAUUAACUCAAGAAAGACUUUUUUCUAUAUCGCUUUUCUCUCAAAAGGAGAGAAGACGUGCACAGCUGGAGUUCACCUGGACAAACUGAACUUGGAGCAGAAUAAGAUGCAAAAUGAGAACAUUUGUGAUUUAGACUCAAGAAACUUUGUGUUGUUCUGCUGUAAAAUUGUACUUGGUAAAAAUCAACCAGAGGGAACCACCUGUAACCAAACACAUCUUGAUGAUGGAGGGAGCACUACGAGGUGACUUCAAUGACUCAGCUUUGGAGCUGUGUAUUUAGAUAGCCAUCCCAUAUUUCCUCAGUGCUGUCUUUUGCAUACUGUGCUGCUGUUCUCUCCGUUUUGCUCUUCCUAAUUCUGAGAAUGCAAUGAUUUGUUUUUUUUCCACAAGCAGAUGACAGUUUGCUGUCUCCCCAGUGUCUUCCCAUGGUUGCCUGUAUGAGAUACGAAGAGCACAAUAACACUAUUUGAUAGAGGAAGGUCUUAGCUGCAAAACACUCUUUUUCAACGUAGUCACCACUGUUAGCUGUGCGUUUUUGCAAUGAAGAGGAGCCUGCAUGCCAUACAUCAAAAUCUGUGCUGGUGAAGGUGAUCUGCUGCCAGUACUGCUGAAACGCAGCACCCACUGCCUCACUGCGCUCACAUCGACGUUCAACAAAUGUCAAUGAACUUCAUGCUGUUUUUUUCCACGUGGAAGAAUUCAGUUCCACACCUUCGCUUCAUACGCAUGUCCAUGUCAGCUGUGAUUCUGUCAGCAUGCCCCUCUGCUGCCAUCUGCCACAACAAAAUAUAAUGGACUGUUGGCAGGAAGGCUCAACUACUGCCAUGCCACCAACAGCUGCCUGUGGCGUUGUGAGCCAAUGUAAUAUAGGAGGCACUACCUUUGGAACAGCUCUGCUCAUUGUUUAGCACCAUUAUAAUUUUCCAGCUACCCCUUCAACAAUUGCAGUUGCAAAUUGAUGUGGCUAUAACUGAUGUGGCUUGGAGUGCAGGUUGUGUCCCAAAGGAUGCUCGUGUGCAGACUGCAUCUCUUCUUAAUCCCAUAGUAACGCUGCAGCUAAUUCUGAUGGUUUCAGCUCUUCUGAUGAGCUACCACGCUGCUUUUUGUUUUGUCUUUCUUUUCUGAGUUUAAACAGUGCAUCUUGUAUUUGUUCAACUUAAGGUUACUUUUUACUUGCAGUGCUUUUGUAAUGUCUCCAUUACUUAUGGGAGCUGAGGGUGUUCUUUUUGAUUCAAAGUGUUUGAUGAAUAUAUUUGUAGGCAUCUGCAAACUUUGUCCUUGCUUCAUCUACUUAUUCUGUAUUUACUUUAAGAUAAAACUAUCUUCUCUCCCCUAGAUACGAUGGGUCUUUCCUUCAGCUAUAGUAGAGCUUCCUGUUGGUGUUUUGUUAUUUCUGAGUAAGGAAAGUCUGAUAUCUUUCAGCUCAGUUGUUGCUUCAUCUCCUCUGCUCUCCCAGGGGGUCUCACAUGCACUUUCAGUUCUGCCUUACAUUCUUGAUUUCGUGAUGUUCCCUACUAUUUACAUUUCCUCACGUAUAUUCUCUUCAUACCAUCUGCUACUUUAUGUCUUGCUCAUCUCUGAAUUUGGUAACCAUGCUGCAUGCAACAGCAUGCUACCUUAUUUUCUUCAAAUUUAAUAAAAAGGUUUUAAAAGAACAAAGCAAGUUAAAAUUCACCAUUUCUAUCUAGACAUCAUAACUGAAGAAGGAGCCGUUGAAGGCCUUCAAAUCCUCAAGAUGGAUGCAUUUAUAGCCGAGAUCUUGUUUGUUGUUUAUGCGAGAGGCAUGUUAUCCGAUCCGCCACAGAGGUUUCACUACUGACAAAAAUUAAGUUGUUAUAGAAUGCUCCCCUAUCAAUUCUUUUCUUUAGAAUGCAGUAAUUCUACUAAGCAGUAUUUACUUCAGAGUCGGUGUGUGGCUGUGCCUUGUUAGAUAAAAGCUGCAGUACUAAAACUGUUCUACUGAACUUAGCUCCUGACCUCCCUUCUAAGGCCACGUCUACAAAGGGAUGAUACAUCAACCCAGUCCGUUUGAUCUAAUUACAGCUAUUUAACUAUGUUGAGCACAAGUACAUCCAUCUCACUUUGUUAUGCUGAUUUAAAGUAUUUUCACUGUUGAUCGUGUGCACACCAUCCUUUUUUAUAUCAAUACCUCUCAAAAUACUCUGUGCCAUUAUCCUGCGGAGCGCUAUUCUGCUUCUUAGCUCCAUGUUCUUUUUCACAGCAGGCUGAUAGGGAAUUCUCUGGAAUGUGGGAAUCCUACAGGUCAAACUGACAAUUUACUAUUGCUUUUUUCUUGGCAUUGAUUUUUGCCUGUGCAACUUCUUCCUCAAAAUGCUGCAAGGUGGCACGAAGAAAAAGCCAGUAAAUCCAUUAUAAGGCUUGUUCCUCAGAGGCUGCAUAGGUGGAAUGGUUUUCUUCUACAGCUUUGUAAGUAGCAAAAACUCUGUGUAGUAGAAGAAAUGCAAAAAGGGAAACCAUCAGGUAUGAUCAACCUGUAACUUCCAUGCAGUGUUUCUGGAGCAGCUGACAUGGUGUGCUGUGUCUGAGUGCAGUCGCUCACAGUGCCUGGGUAGCACAGGAGGCCGAUGCAGCAGCUGAACAGCAGGAUGAGAUGCAUUGCACUCAUGGAAAUCUGUGCAGAUCUCAGCUGCAGAGGUAAAAUGCAAAGCGAGGGCUUCCCUUAACAUACAGAAGCCCGUUGCUGUCUAUGGAAAAGCAUUAUUUCUGAUUACUUGCGGAACCAGCUGGGUUUGAGUCAGGGAUGUUGUCAUGGGUUUUUUAAUGCAUAUAGCUGAAGAAGAUGCUGAUCUUGUGUCAUAAAGCUAAUGCGUGAGAAGUUACUGAGAGCUUUUCCCAGGUACAAACCAUGAAUUAGGCCAUAGGGGUCCAAGGAACAAACAUGGCCUAUUGAGCCAGGAGAGAGAAUUUAUGAAGACUGUGAACAGUUUCUUAAUGCUUGCACAAGGCCUUGCUCAUCAGUGAAGGUGAUUUACCAUUAAGUGGAUACAGAACAGUACUACAAAACUUUCUCAUAACAGUCUAGAAACUUGAAAUUGCUCUGAUUUGUACAACAUCUGUAAGAUACUAAAGGGUGGGUGAAGACAAGGAGCAGAAAGGUGACUUUGAUAUUAUCCAGUGAGAAAAACCUCAGCAAAGUAUUCCCUUUGAGGAAGACCUGUGCACCUUUCUCAACAGAAUUUUUCUCCCUGUACUUUCUAUAAUGGUAUAGCAGUCAGAGAGACAUCAGGAAACUUUGGUCCCAUGUGGAUAUUUAAUGUCCUAUCUUUAAACAUAUAUAUCUUCUACCCAUGCUGAUAAUAUUUUUCGUUGUUUCUGCAUCAGUUUUGUUGCUUUAUCAAAUCUUACUGUGAAUUUAGACUAUUUCCUGUCCCAUUUUCAGUGAACAUGAACAUUCAAUUGCCAACAUUCAGCAUAACGAAGUGGAAGUUUGGUAUUUUGUCCCCCCAUGGUUCUCAGGUCAGCUCUCCCCUUUCGUUUUUCUGAGUCACCCAGCAUUCUCCUUGUUCCUUGUGCUCUUCUCUGUUGGUUUUUAUCAGUUUUUAUGUUUUACGUGGUGCCUAAAACAGGAUACAAUAUUCCAGCUGAGAAUUUCACCAGCACUGAGUUGAACAAGGUAAUUGUCGUGGGUGUCCGAUGUAAAAGAACCUUAUUAAAUAUUUCUGUGAUGCAUUAUCUUCAUUGUGUCGACUCAAAUUCAGUUUGUGAUGCAUUACAACCACUGGCUCCUUUAGUGAGCACUGCCUGCUACUCCUCUUAUAUUGCAUGCUUCUGACUUGAUCCUUGGCUACAGAAAACUGCUGAAAAUGUCACGUUUUCAGGAGGAGGAAAAGAGAUGAGGAGCUUUUCCAAAGGCACUGCUCCUGUGAAGUCCAAGUGGGUCAGCCUGCCUAUGGAAGAGAGAUUAUCACUUAAUGUUUCUUCACAAUAAUGGGUGGGAAUGACAAAGUUUUGUCAUUAUUCACAGAAAUCCUAAUAUGAGCUGGAGUAGGAAUGUUUGCUUGCAAAUGAGAAAGAAGAUAUUUACAGUACGUGAAUCUUAGAUUAUGCUUCUGGAUAUAUUUUUCCACUCUCCUGUUACUCACAAGUUCUGCAGAACGACUUAAUAAAUGUCCCUUUCAAUAAAUAAUAGCUCUGGCUGCCAGAGUUGAGAUGAAGUGAAGUUAAAAUUGGAAGGCUUUUGGAGAAAGAAGAAAACAACCAGAGAAGUUAUGCAAUUCUGCUUUUGUCCAAAACACUGAGAACAUAAAGAUGCUAUCUAUGGAUGUGAGGUGUUCUCUUUUGGUCUUCUAUGUGGUUAUCAGGUUAGAACACUGCCAGAGCCAACCAAAGAAGACACAGAUAUGUUUCUGCCUAAUGCCCCUUGCAUAUUGUUGUUUAAAGAAACAUGAAGCAGUGGCAAGCGAGGAAGGAAUCUGACAGCAUGGAACACGGUGUGCUUAAAAUCAUGAAAAACAUCCACUUGAGAACAGAAAAUCCCAACAAGAGCAGCCAAGGUUCGUUUGCAAAAGAGAAGUAUCGCUAAAGUAGGCGUAUUUUUAUCUGGAGAAAUUAACAGACCUUUGAUUGGAAGAAUUUGAAUAUUCCUGGAGAAGUUGUGAUCAAAAGUCAUUAGCAAAAAAAAUAGAAAUAUAGUGGAAACCUUUAAUGGUCCUACUGGGUCUCCUUUUUGGAAAGCUCUCCAGGGGCCAUUAUAGUGCUGAGGUGAGUUUGGGUGUGAGUGGAGGUUUGGCUGCAGCAAGGGUCACUGCUCAGUUCUCUGAGUGCAGUCUGACAGAUUUUGCUGAGCUCGUGUGUGCUCCAUUGCUGGGUCAGCUUGCAUAUUCUGCACGGUGUAUUUCAUGCUGCUUUACGCUCCUGUGACCCGGAUGAAUUUAGCAGGGCGCUGAGCAGCAGGUUUCCUGUGUGUGCUUCUUGCACUUCUGCCCAUCUUAAUCCAGUUCUGUGCACUGUGAUGCGGUCUGUGGUUACAAAUCAAAUAAUAUCAAAUCAAAUAAUUUAUAUCAAAUAGUAAGACCUGCCUUCUCAAAUGCUGUUGCAUUUUGUGACUUUUUUCAGAAUUUUUUUUUACUUACAUAUCUCGUUUAUUAUAUCUAGUUCAAAUUACUGCAGCAAAUAGGGAUUACUAAUUGUAAUGGAUCUUCUUGAUGUUUUUCACGAUGGUAUCUAAAUGCCUUUUAACUUUAAAUGUGUCUUCACAGUAUUGCAAAGUCUUUUCUUCUCAGUGCAUUGAUGCAAAGCAGGGAAAUUAAUGGCAAAGCUAUCAAAACUCUCCACUGCAUCUAUAUAUUCCACAGUGACAAAAAACAAAUUUUCAGCUUGUCCCAGUAAAAUAAUUAGAAAUAUCUUCUUCAGCCACCCACCAGGUUGCAGAUGGAUAUUCCAGGCUGUUGGUGUUUUUUUUCCCCAUGAUGCUGAACUGAAGGAGCCUCUGUUGGUCACCAUGCCUUAUGUGGGCACUCACACUUCAUGCUGUCCAUAGAAACGUCAAAUGUUAGCACAAAAGCUGUUGACCUUUUCAGCCUAGCAGCCCCAGCUGAAGGAUUUUUUUUUAAUACAUAUAUAUAUUUAAUAAGACCUCCUAUUCUGACUUGCAUUCUCAAGUGUAAUCGGGCCUUUUUGUAUAUUUGGUGCCAACAUAACCCUGUAAUUUCAAUACCUGUUUUCAAACCAUAACCCGCGGUCAGCCUUUCUUUUGUUGGAGUUACCUGAGCUAAAACUUCAGCCUUUUCUCGUUAUAGAUUCUUCGCCUUUAUAACCAUCUUAGUGAGCCUUUCUACGACCAUUCCAAUUUUCAUGUAUCAUCCACGAAUAUAAACUGUGCUCAGAAUUUUUUCAGUAACAUCUGAGUGUGCCUUACCUGGCCAUCAGAUCACAUUAUCUCCUUCAUUUUCUGUGGUGUGUGGUAAUUCUGUGACCAAAUAUGCUUUCAAGUCUUUGUCCUUCUCCAUUAACUAAGAUGAAUUCCCGUUUACAGGAAUGUUGGCUGUUAGUCCCUGGGUGAGCAGCCUCACGCUUUGCAGUCUUCUUAUUACUGCAUUCCACCCCUGCUGGUCCCGCCCUCGGAAUUCCCAUCUUGUUCUAAAACAUUGUCUGAUUUUCCUCCACGUCUUUUCCCCUCCAGGUGAGAAAUGAGCCUUGGACCUCUCACUGCGCUGGCUACUCCAUACAGAUGCAUACAUAUGUAUAACGUACAUGUACACAUCUAUACAUAUGUAUAAAGUAAUCCUUAAGAAAAUCAGUCUGAGAAUAGCCAAAAUAAAUAAAAGGGUACAGUGGGAAGGAGGCGAAUCUGGAGGAAGACAUGGAGAACACUGCAGCAUGCAGUGAUUGCAUUCAGGAACUGAAUUUUCCAGCCGCUGGGCUGAACUGUGUUUCCUGAAAGAAAGAAAACAAGCGAUGCUUAGAACACUUUGUUUCAUAAUGUGUGUUGUUACACUGGUUGCCUUUUGGAGCACCUUUCACUGAGGUAUCUGAUUCCCAAGGCAGGAACACAACUGGCGACCUUGGGUGGUUUUCUGCUCGGUGUGCUCUGCCUUUGUUUUACUGAAGGUGCCUGUGAUAGUAUCAGCCCUUAUGAAGAAGUAAUAUUGCUAAGGUUUGAUUGUGGGCCUUCUCAAAGUCAGAGAUAACAGCUAGAUAAAAAAAUGACCUUGUUUCUCAGCUCCAGUAAUGAGUUCCAAACGUUCUGGUGAAGCCAGUCUAAGUGCAAGUGAGCUUCUGUGAGGUACGAACUCAUGAAGCUAAGAGCUGCUUCUGGUACCACUGCGCAAGAUGAUGGAACGGAGGCCUUAAAAAGCGUCACAUCCCUACAUGCAGACUGCGGCUCCCCGUGUGGGUUUGACUACAGGAUUCAGACUUUGACAUAAAUCCAAAUUUAUGGAUAGCUGUUGAAAGGUCGAUGAGUAAAAUUUCUGCCUGGCCCUUC